AGUGAACGCUGGCGGUAGGCCUAACACAUGCAAGUCGAACGGCAGCACAGUAAGAGCUUGCUCUUACGGGUGGCGAGUGGCGGACGGGUGAGGAAUACAUCGGAAUCUACUUUUUCGUGGGGGAUAACGUAGGGAAACUUACGCUAAUACCGCAUACGACCUACGGGUGAAAGCAGGGGAUCUUCGGACCUUGCGCGAUUGAAUGAGCCGAUGUCGGAUUAGCUAGUUGGCGGGGUAAAGGCCCACCAAGGCGACGAUCCGUAGCUGGUCUGAGAGGAUGAUCAGCCACACUGGAACUGAGACACGGUCCAGACUCCUACGGGAGGCAGCAGUGGGGAAUAUUGGACAAGGGGGGCAAGCCGGAUCCAGCCAUACCGCGUGGGUGAAGAAGGCCUUCGGGUGGUAAAGCCCUUUUGUUGGGAAAGAAAAGAAGCAGGUUAAUACCCCGCUGUUCUGACGGUACCCAAAGAAUAAGCACCGGCUACCUUCGU
RNAcentral lists this ribosomal RNA (491 nucleotides) under uncultured bacterium. RNAcentral describes it as "partial 16S ribosomal RNA". It matches the Rfam family "Bacterial small subunit ribosomal RNA", at positions 29 to 506 of the family's 1533-position model. The record is from RNAcentral.